AACGAACGCUGGCGGCAUGCCUAACACAUGCAAGUCGAACGAGACCUUCGGGUCUAGUGGCGCACGGGUGCGUAACGCGUGGGAACCUGCCCUUAGGUUCGGAAUAACUCCCCGAAAGGGGUGCUAAUACCGGAUAAUGUCUUCGGACCAAAGAUUUAUCGCCUUUGGAUGGGCCCGCGUUGGAUUAGCUAGUUGGUAGGGUAAAAGCCUACCAAGGCGACGAUCCAUAGCUGGUCUGAGAGGAUGAUCAGCCACACUGGGGCUGAGACACGGCCCAGACUCCUACGGGAGGCAGCAGUGGGUAAUAUAGGACAAUGGGCGAAAGCGUGAUCCAGCAAUGCCGCGUGAGUGAUGAAGGCCUUAGGGUUGUAAAGUUCUUUUACCCGGGAUGAUAAUGACAGUACCGGGAGAAUAAGCUCCGGCUAACUACGUG
This 433-nucleotide ribosomal RNA is filed under the name uncultured bacterium. Its description in RNAcentral is "partial 16S ribosomal RNA". It matches the Rfam family "Bacterial small subunit ribosomal RNA", at positions 29 to 507 of the family's 1533-position model. The record is from RNAcentral.